GGCGGACGGGUGAGUAAUGCCUAGGAAAUUGCCCUGAUGUGGGGGAUAACCAUUGGAAACGAUGGCUAAUACCGCAUGAUGCCUACGGGCCAAAGAGGGGGACCUUCGGGCCUCUCGCGUCAGGAUAUGCCUAGGUGGGAUUAGCUAGUUGGUGAGGUAAGGGCUCACCAAGGCGACGAUCCCUAGCUGGUCUGAGAGGAUGAUCAGCCACACUGGAACUGAGACACGGUCCAGACUCCUACGGGAGGCAGCAGUGGGGAAUAUUGCACAAUGGGCGCAAGCCUGAUGCAGCCAUGCCGCGUGUGUGAAGAAGGCCUUCGGGUUGUAAAGCACUUUCAGUCGUGAGGAAGGUAGUGUAGUUAAUAGCUGCAUUAUUUGACGUUAGCGACAGAAGAAGCACCGGCUAACUCCGUGCCAGCAGCCGCGGUAAUACGGAGGGUGCGAGCGUUAAUCGGAAUUACUGGGCGUAAAGCGCAUGCAGGUGGUUUGUUAAGUCAGAUGUGAAAGCCCGGGGCUCAACCUCGGAAUUGCAUUUGAAACUGGCAGACUAGAGUACUGUAGAGGGGGGUAGAAUUUCAGGUGUAGCGGUGAAAUGCGUAGAGAUCUGAAGGAAUACCGGUGGCGAAGGCGGCCCCCUGGACAGAUACUGACACUCAGAUGCGAAAGCGUGGGGAGCAAACAGGAUUAGAUACCCUGGUAGUCCACGCCGUAAACGAUGUCUACUUGGAGGUUGUGGCCUUGAGCCGUGGCUUUCGGAGCUAACGCGUUAAGUAGACCGCCUGGGGAGUACGGUCGCAAGAUUAAAACUCAAAUGAAUUGACGGGGGCCCGCACAAGCGGUGGAGCAUGUGGUUUAAUUCGAUGCAACGCGAAGAACCUUACCUACUCUUGACAUCCAGAGAACUUUCCAGAGAUGGAUUGGUGCCUUCGGGAACUCUGAGACAGGUGCUGCAUGGCUGUCGUCAGCUCGUGUUGUGAAAUGUUGGGUUAAGUCCCGCAACGAGCGCAACCCUUAUCCUUGUUUGCCAGCGAGUAAUGUCGGGAACUCCAGGGAGACUGCCGGUGAUAAACCGGAGGAAGGUGGGGACGACGUCAAGUCAUCAUGGCCCUUACGAGUAGGGCUACACACGUGCUACAAUGGCGCAUACAGAGGGCAGCCAACUUGCGAAAGUGAGCGAAUCCCAAAAAGUGCGUCGUAGUCCGGAUUGGAGUCUGCAACUCGACUCCAUGAAGUCGGAAUCGCUAGUAAUCGUGAUCAGAAUGCCACGGUGAAUACUUUCCCGGGCCUUGUACACACCUACCCA
This 1303-nucleotide ribosomal RNA is filed under the name Vibrio sp. JF33. Its description in RNAcentral is "bacterial SSU rRNA". It matches the Rfam family "Bacterial small subunit ribosomal RNA", at positions 97 to 1397 of the family's 1533-position model. The record is from RNAcentral. Lineage: Bacteria; Pseudomonadati; Pseudomonadota; Gammaproteobacteria; Vibrionales; Vibrionaceae.